AUCGGGGACCGUGCAUGGUAGGCAGUUUGACUGGGGCGGUCUCCUCCCAAAGAGUAACGGAGGAGUUCGAAGGUUACCUAGGUCCGGUCGGAAAUCGGACUGAUAGUGCAAUGGCAAAAGGUAGCUUAACUGCGAGACCGACAAGUCGAGCAGGUGCGAAAGCAGGACAUAGUGAUCCGGUGGUUCUGAAUGGAAGGGCCAUCGCUCAACGGAUAAAAGGUACUCCGGGGAUAACAGGCUGAUUCCGCCCAAGAGUUCAUAUCGACGGCGGAGUUUGGCACCUCGAUGUCGGCUCAUCACAUCCUGGGGCUGUAGUCGGUCCCAAGGGUAUGGCUGUUCGCCAUUUAAAGUGGUACGUGAGCUGGGUUUAAAACGUCGUGAGACAGUUUGGUCCCUAUCUGCAGUGGGCGUUGGAAGUUUGACGGGGGCUGCUCCUAGUACGAGAGGACCGGAGUGGACGAACCUCUGGUGUACCGGUUGUGACGCCAGUCGCAUCGCCGGGUAGCUAAGUUCGGAAGAGAUAAGCGCUGAAAGCAUCUAAGCGCGAAACUCGCCUGAAGAUGAGACUUCCCUGAGGAUUUAAUCCUCCUAAAGAGUCGUUCGAGACCAGGACGUGAUAGGUGGGGUGUGGAAGUGCGGUAACGCAUGAAGC
Molecule: ribosomal RNA, 652 nt
Filed under: Yersinia pestis
Lineage: Bacteria; Pseudomonadati; Pseudomonadota; Gammaproteobacteria; Enterobacterales; Yersiniaceae
Description: bacterial LSU rRNA
Rfam family: Bacterial large subunit ribosomal RNA
Source: RNAcentral